ACAGUAGGGAAUCUUCGGCAAUGGACGAAAGUCUGACCGAGCAACGCCGCGUGAGUGAAGAAGGUUUUCGGAUCGUAAAACUCUGUUGGUAGAGAAAACGUUGGUGAGAGUGGAAAGCUCAUCAAGUGACGGUAACUACCCAGAAAGGGACGGCUAACUACGUGCCAG
RNAcentral lists this ribosomal RNA (168 nucleotides) under uncultured bacterium. RNAcentral describes it as "partial 16S rRNA". It matches the Rfam family "Bacterial small subunit ribosomal RNA", at positions 351 to 511 of the family's 1533-position model. The record is from RNAcentral.